This 1278-nucleotide long non-coding RNA is filed under the name Helianthus annuus (common sunflower). Its description in RNAcentral is "hypothetical non coding rna". The record is from RNAcentral. Lineage: Eukaryota; Viridiplantae; Streptophyta; Magnoliopsida; Asterales; Asteraceae.
GAGUUGUCUUCCCCAAAUUUCACAGCUGUAAAACCUAUUCCAGAGUUCUGACCAAUAUGUUGACCACCAGAUUGACCACGAUGAAAAACUUGUUGAUUAGAUGAUUCCUCAAUUCUUUGCCACAGAUUUGAAGAUGAAACAGUACCUCUUGCCAAAUGAACUAGAGAAGAAGACAUAUUUGCAGUAAGAAAGGCUGAAACAUAUGCAUCUGAACGAUUCCAUUUCUCUCUGGCUUCUUCUUCACCUGGUGGUUUGAAAUUUCGAUUCAAGAACUGUAAUAUGCCUAAAGUUUUCAGAAUUGUGAUAAUCUGAUGUUGCCAGUUGAGAAAAUUCUCAUUAUCAAGUUUAAACAGCAUAAAAUUCGUGAUAUUAGGUAAGCUGUUGUGAUUUGAUGAUGUAACAUCAUUCAUGAAUGAUGAUGUUGGAGAUUGAGUGGCUGAAUUUGAUUUAUUAGUCAUGAAACUGAAACUGAAAUUGAGAUUUGAGAUUUGAAGAAUGAAAUCUGAGAAGAGUGAUAUGAGAUGAAGAAUGAAGAAAAGGAAAAGAACAGAUCGAAAAAGAGAAGAAUCUAAGAGACUGAAGCAGAUUCACCGGAAAUUCACCUGAGAAGAUGACCGGUGAUGCAGUGGUUACCGGAAAUCAGAUCAGAAAGGCAACAAAUUUUGCUUUAGAGCAUAGUUCUGAUACUAUGUAAUAAAGUAUCAAGCUCAAUAAUCUCAUCUCAUAUCAUAAUCAAAAGUCAAUACAAUACAAUCCUCUCUAAAUAUAUAUAGAGGAGAAUGGAAACAAACUAUAACUAUCUAAACAAACUGGAUAACUAACUACUAACAAGAUAACUAACUGCUCCUGUAAUAUACACUCUAAUACUACCCAAUAAUUUGAAUUUAACGAAACCAUUGGCACCGAACUUUUGACAUUUGAUAAACAGUUUCCAAAUUGUUAAUCUCUUACGCGGUGCUGGAUCAGAAAACACUCUAUAACCUUUUCGUUCACUCAAACUCUCUAAAUUUCUCAAAUUGUUAAUCUCUCACGCAGUGCUGAAACCAGUCGGACAUUAACUCCGACAACUCUUUUCAUUCAUUAAUCCGAAGUUCUUGUAGGUAUUUUUUAUAUAAUUCUGUUCGGAUUUAGGCAAAGAACAAAAGCCCUCUGCGCAUCCUUCUCCAUGGCUGGUGGUGGAGAGAUACCGGGGAGAGCUUGAGGAGGUGGCAGAUCGCCAUGGCUGAUGAUGGUUGUCAGUGGUGUGGGUUGGAAGCAGGGGUGGAACUAAUGUAUUAA